CAAGUACUCCCUCCGUCUGGAAUAACUUCUCAUCAAAAUGGAUGUGUCUAGAACUAAAAUACAUCUAGAUACAUCCAUUUCAAUGACAAGUAUUUUCGGACGGAAGGAGUAUAAG
Triticum aestivum (bread wheat) is the source of this 115-nucleotide non-coding RNA. The record is from Rfam. NCBI's taxonomy places the organism in Eukaryota, Viridiplantae, Streptophyta, Magnoliopsida, Poales, Poaceae.